Molecule: small nuclear RNA, 95 nt
Filed under: Chinchilla lanigera (long-tailed chinchilla)
Lineage: Eukaryota; Metazoa; Chordata; Mammalia; Rodentia; Chinchillidae
Source: RNAcentral
UUGCUUUGGCAGAACAUAUGCUAAAAUGAACACACAGAUCAGCCCGGCUCCUGUGCAAAGAUGGCACACAAACUCUCUAAGUAUUUCAUAUUUUU